This is a non-coding RNA of Vicia faba (fava bean), 201 nucleotides long. The record is from the annotation of a GenBank genome assembly. Lineage: Eukaryota; Viridiplantae; Streptophyta; Magnoliopsida; Fabales; Fabaceae.
AUGAGCCUAACUCUAUCUAUUGGAAAUCACAAGCAAAGUUGGUUCACAAAAGACAAAAUCAAAGGAGGUCCAAAUCAGAAUUACGAACUCAGUAAGGUCCAGCAUUACAUUCACAGCAUAUCAUCCCAAAUCAGUUCACAAAUCCUUUCAGAGAAAAAACCAAUUUCGUUCAAGAAAAGCCCUAAUCCUAGUUAUAUUUAA